This 906-nucleotide long non-coding RNA is filed under the name Meleagris gallopavo (turkey). RNAcentral's name for it is "lncRNA (ENSMGAG00000020529.1)". The record is from RNAcentral. Lineage: Eukaryota; Metazoa; Chordata; Aves; Galliformes; Phasianidae.
CCCAUUUCCACCCCCAGUGCCCACCCCUGGGCAGAUCCCCCAUCUCCAGUGCCCAAGGGGGGGUCCCAGCAUGGUGACACUGGGGGGAACCCCUCGUUUCGGGGUGAGUCCCUCCGUUUGGAGGUGGGGGGAGGGGAUCCCCCAUGAGUGCCGUCCCCUCCACAGCCUGCAGUGACCUGUACCCCAUGGAGGAGAACCCCUACGAACCUUUGGACCCCCCCAUCACUGCUCCAAGCCGGAAGCACGCACCUGACCCCCCAGUGUCCCCAGAGCGGCAGAGCUGCCCCCAGGACAGGCUGCUGCUGGUGGGGGCUGUGGCCCUGGGGGUCUCGGUGCUGCUCAACAUCUUCCUCCUCUCCCUUGGGACAAGGCGGAGUUGCCCCAUUUGCCCCCAGGGUUGGACCUAUUUUGGGGGAUCCUGUUAUUUCUACUCCAAAACGGCCAACACGUGGGACAGCGCGCGGGGAUUCUGCUCAGCCCGUGGGGCGCAGCUGCUGGAGGUGGACGGUCCUGAGGAGAAGGUGACCCCAAACCCGGCCCCUAAUCCUACAACCAACCCUGAACCUAAUCCAUGACCAGCGUCCUGCCCCCAUCCACACCCAACCCUAAUCCAUAACCACAACCCCAUCCCCAUCCUACACCCAACCCCAAUCUGCGACCCCAUCCAACACCCAAUCCUAAUCCAUGACCAUAAACCCAUCCUACACCCAACCCUAAUCCAUGACCAUAAUCCCACCCUACACCCAACCCUAAUCCAUAACCACAACCCCAUCCCCAUCCUACACCCAACCCCAAUCUGCGACCCCAUCCUACACACAAUCCUAAUCCAUGACCAUAAACCCCUCCUACAACCAAUCUUAAUCCAUGACCAUAAUCCCAUCCUACACCCAACCCUAAUCCAUGACC